This 253-nucleotide ribosomal RNA is filed under the name uncultured bacterium. Its description in RNAcentral is "partial 16S ribosomal RNA". It matches the Rfam family "Bacterial small subunit ribosomal RNA", at positions 524 to 776 of the family's 1533-position model. The record is from RNAcentral.
UACGGAGGGUGCAAGCGUUAAUCGGAAUUACUGGGCGUAAAGCGCACGCAGGCGGUUUGUUAAGUCAGAUGUGAAAGCCCCGGGCUCAACCUGGGAACGGCAUCUGAUACUGGCAAGCUUGAGUCUAGUAGAGGGAGGUAGAAUUCCAGGUGUAGCGGUGAAAUGCGCAGAGAUCUGGAGGAAUACCGGUGGCGAAGGCGGCCUCCUGGACUAAGACUGACGCUCAGGUGCGAAAGCGUGGGGGGCAAACAGG